GUAGGUGGCGAGCGUUGUCCGGAUUUACUGGGCGUAAAGAGCGCGCAGGCGGUCGUGCAAGUCGCGUGUGAAAGCCCCCGGCUCAACUGGGGAGGGUCACGCGAUACUGCUCGACUCGAAGGCAGGAGAGGGAAGCGGAAUUCCCGGUGUAGUGGUGAAAUGCGUAGAUAUCGGGAGGAACACCAGUGGCGAAGGCGGCUUCCUGGCCUGUUCUUGACGCUGAGGCGCGAAAGCUAGGGGAGCAAACGGGAUUAGAUACCCCGGUAGUCCUAGCCGUAAACGAUGGACACUAGGUGUUGGUGGUAUCAACCCCGCCAGUGCCGAAGCUAACGCAUUAAGUGUCCCGCCUGGGGAGUACGGCCGCAAGGCUA
This 371-nucleotide ribosomal RNA is filed under the name uncultured bacterium. Its description in RNAcentral is "bacterial SSU rRNA". It matches the Rfam family "Bacterial small subunit ribosomal RNA", at positions 527 to 896 of the family's 1533-position model. The record is from RNAcentral.